RNAcentral lists this ribosomal RNA (253 nucleotides) under uncultured bacterium. Its description in RNAcentral is "partial 16S ribosomal RNA". It matches the Rfam family "Bacterial small subunit ribosomal RNA", at positions 524 to 776 of the family's 1533-position model. The record is from RNAcentral.
UACGUAGGGGGCAAGCGUUGUCCGGAUUUACUGGGCGUAAAGAGCGUGUAGGCGGCCAAGCAGGUCCGUUGUGAAAACUGGAGGCUUAACCUCCAGACGUCGACGGAAACCGCGUGGCUAGAGUCCGGAAGAGGAGAGUGGAAUUCCUGGUGUAGCGGUGAAAUGCGCAGAUAUCAGGAAGAACACCAAUGACGAAGGCAGCUCUCUGGGACGGUACUGACGCUGAGACGCGAAAGCGUGGGGAGCGAACAGG